CUGUGAGGAGAGAGAGUUAGCAGGGCCGGUUCGGGGCGGGGUGAGAGGCGUCGGCGACGAACGCUGUUUUCUUAACGUUUUUUAUUUGCUGCAGGAAAUUCCAAAACAUCGUAGCAGGUUCAAACCCAGCAACAAACGUAACCUCAAUAACUAGAGGAGUUGCUUUCUUUCUUCCUCAGCAGGCCACUGACUCACUAUUGGCUCACCAACAAGUAACUGUUCUCUCCGGAGACUGCGAGCCGGGACUUCUGCGUUCGGCGCCACAGAGUCUGUGCACUGACAUUUUGCUUGAAAAUUUAAUUUUGGCACUCCCCUGACCAUUCUGGAACCUCCUUUGGAAAGCUCGAUUCUACAGAACCAAAUUUUGAAAAUGGCUCCAACUCUACUCUCUUCGAAUCGAUUGAAACUUUGACGGAACGCCGUCGGACGUCUUUAUAUCUGGGCGGUGUAUCAGGGUGUCUCAUUCAUUUGGAAUUAUCUUCGGGCAACACAGAAGAGAUUCACGUAAAUUGUUUCCAGCUCGGUGUCCACACUAGGCUGCCCGCUGAGCUGCGUCACUGUUGGAGCGAGGUCACCGCCGCCUGCACCUGAUGACCCCGUGACCCCGGAGACCCCGGCCACUAGCCCUGCCGCACGCAGCUGCGCCACCAGGCGUCCAGGGGACCUGUGAUUCUGAGGAUUCCUCUCAACGUGUCGACGCUUCAUGAGUGGGUCGGAGGGCGCGGGAGUGGACCAGCAGUGGGGACUGUGCUCGGACUGCUGGUCCACACACACCGACCAGGCUCGCGAGAGAGAGAGGGAACUGGCGUGUUGCGUCACCAUCUCGGUUGGCACGCCUGGCGCCUGGCGGCCCGUGAGAACUGAACCUCUCUCCGCGGCCACGGGCGAGUGGACCACGGGCGAGUGGACCACGGGCGAGUGGACCACGGGCUAGUCCACCCGGCCCGAGGCACGGCGCCAUCUCCCGGCCGUGCUGAUAGCAGCGCCGCGCCAAUAAGCCAGCACUGAUACCAGAGACCAGCCUGCACGGUGAUGUAGCUCCUCGGACGUGGGGGGGGGGGGGGGGGGGGUGAUAAACAACCCAAUUACUUCAUGAACUGUCUGUAGAACCGUCGUGUCCGUGCACUGAAAAUGUUUGGCGAAAAUUCAUUGCGAGGAAAGCAGAAUAUAGUAAGACUAUUAUAAAAAACUUUUAUUUUUGAACACGCUGAUCUCAAAAACUACUAUUUGAAUUUUCAUGGAGUUUUCACACGUAACUGAGCGUAUCUUGGGCUACAUACAGGCUUUAUUUCAUUAAAAUCGGCUCAUGUAAAAACAAGAUAGCAUAUCUUAAUUUGAAGUUUUAGGAGUCUUCUAAGCUCAGUACAGUUCGUAGUAAAGUCAAAAGAUGGGGCCACAUUAAUUGAUUUUUAAACGGCGCUCACAGAAGUUUUCGGAUGUUUAACUCAGUUACACGAUCAUCACUUAGUAGUACACCAAGGACCCAAUAGAUGGCGCAGUUAGCUUUUUUUUUUUUUUUUACCUCAGUAACAGAAGUAUUUCUGUAAGUUUACGUCAGUGACAGAAUUAAGCAAAUUUACGAAUACAAAAUAACAUUGAAACUACUUGGCUAGGAUAUACGGAUUUGUUGAUUUCGCUUUGAGUUUUAGAUAUUAAAAACUUAACGAAAUUGCUUUGCUUCUUUCGAUAGGUUUUAUUUAUAUUUGACUUCUUUCCUAGGGAAAUCAAUAAGAAAGAAUUUAUCGAGUCUGCUUUGUUAUUGGUGUGCCUGCUUAUCACAUUUUGAUAAAAAGUUUAUCAUUUUGAAGUUAGAAA
Bacillus rossius redtenbacheri is the source of this 1815-nucleotide long non-coding RNA. RefSeq lists it as uncharacterized. The transcript has 2 exons. The record is from RefSeq and is a predicted model, not a curated record. Lineage: Eukaryota; Metazoa; Arthropoda; Insecta; Phasmatodea; Bacillidae.